UAAUACGGAGGGUGCAAGCGUUGUUCGGAUUCAUUGGGCGUAAAGCGAGUGUAGGCGGUUUGACAAGUCGGAUGUGAAAUCCCGGGGCCCAACCCCGGAACUGCAUCCGAUACUGUCUGGCUAGAGUCCCGGAGAGGGUGGCGGAAUUCCCGGUGUAGGGGUGAAAUCCGUAGAUAUCGGGAGGAACACCAGUGGCGAAGGCGGCCACCUGGACGGUGACUGACGCUGAGACUCGAAAGCGUGGGUAGCAAACAGG
Molecule: ribosomal RNA, 256 nt
Filed under: uncultured bacterium
Lineage: Bacteria
Description: partial 16S ribosomal RNA
Rfam family: Bacterial small subunit ribosomal RNA
Source: RNAcentral